Molecule: long non-coding RNA, 1884 nt
Organism: Cyprinus carpio (common carp)
Lineage: Eukaryota; Metazoa; Chordata; Actinopteri; Cypriniformes; Cyprinidae
Exons: 4
Source: RefSeq, a predicted model, not a curated record
UUCAAUGUAACCAUCUAAAUUAUUUUUAUGUGAUAUUUGGGGAUAGGUAAAUCUAAAAUUAGUUAAAACAUUUAAUUUUAAAUUAAAUGCAAUAACGAAGUUUACUUGGGGUGAAAAUGUGCCUAAUUAAAAUAUGACCAGGACAUUUCUUAUAGUGAGAUAUAAAGCACCCAUAGAGUCUGUUCCGCUUGUUCUGGCUUCAUCUAUAAAAGAUGUUACAUGUAAGCCAGAAUAAGCAGACAAGACUUAUAAAAAAACAUUUGAUGCAACUUUGGCAAAUCCAGCAACCAGUUUCUCUUCAGAAACACUCACAGUAAUGGCCCAGGGACUUGUAUACAUGUCUUUGGUUUCCUGACAGACUGAUAAAAACCUGUGCAUCUUCAUUCCCAGAAACUGUGUAAAACCAGACAGAUUUGUGCAGUAUGCAUCAGUCAGUCCGUGAACGGUCUGUUAUCCACGAGCAUAUCUGAGACUGACACUAGCAUUACAGAGCCACACACACACUUUUAUGUGCUGUUUAAGGGUCACCUCAAAUGCCCUGUCUUGUCUUUAUCUUAAUUUCAAAUCUGCUGUGAUUUAUUUCAUCCUUUGAGUUUUCUCUUGUCCUUUUCUUUUCUCACUUUUGUACCUGUCUUUGUAUCUGUACUUUCAGAGCGAUCGUAAUUGAAUAACCUUUACAUCAAUAGAUGCUUUGCUCCUUUUCAAAGGGUAAUUGAGACGAAACACGGCCUAUUGUGUGUCUUCAUGGCUGCUUUAAUGAACUGUUCUUUGAUGACUGUUUCAAUAGUAGAUCUCAGCUCUCACCUCUCUGAAAGUCGCUCCAGACCGUUCAAGCACGACAGCCUUAAUGAACUUAAUAACCGUGAAAUGAAGUUUUGUGAUCUACGGAGAGAAGGAAAGUUUCUAUCAGAUCUGUGCCAGAUAUCAACAGUAUAAACGCAGCCUUUUAUGUGUGGUUUCACGGCAGAUCUCAGGCCCUCGGCUCCACAGAUGAACUGUGGGCUGUGAUCUUCGGUGCUGGCAGGGCUUCAGUUCGCCCUCAUGUCUGCCAUCUGAUUCUACACCUGCCAAACUCCACGGCCCCCAUCUGCCCUUUACAACAUGACCUCAUCGGCACGGCACGGGCAGGUGUGAGUGGUCUGGUUCCUGGUGUCCUCGGCGCUCAGCAGGUGGAGGCGACUGCAGCAGGUGUUAGCGCGGAGGGUGGAGAGAAGCCGUGAUUAAUGCCGCGGUGCCCUUUACUGUUUCAGAGCGGCAGGGCGGCAUUAGCAUUCAAAACAUGAAGAGCAGCCAGUGUGUGUCUGGUGUGGAAAACAGGAAAACAGCAGAACACACGUUUACUUAAUCUGUUCACACAUACAUGUGCACACUGCAGUUCUGCAGUGCUUGUUUGCUUCAUUUGCAUUCAGUUUUUUCCUCUCUGAGAGCAUCUAGUCUGUUAAUUAUUUUACAGACGCUUGAACAGGACAUGCUAGCUGUCCUAGCUGACUUUACACAGAUAAAUUGAUUUGCUCAGUUUAAUUUCUCUUCUGUUCUCCUUCUGGGAGCCAAUACGGAAAGCAAUCCUUUAAGUACUUAAUCAAUACGGUUUCUGUGGCAUCAUUGCGAAUUAAUGUCCUGAGCGUCCUUGUUGUGUCCGAUAGCAUCUCUUCAUCAAUGAAAACAUUCUCCUCAUAAACCAAUGAGUCAGAUUCAUCAGUUAGUCAUCACACUUUGCAACAUCAACGCUGAAAAAAUCCAUAGAAUAUGUAAAAAUCCUUCAAACAAAAUACAUUUGUCCAACAAUGCAUUGAUUUUCUGAAUAUGUGAGUGUCUUACUGCACUGGCAGAUUUAUUUGACUGAUAUUUUUAGCUUGUUUACAAUUAAGAUAAAAUGCACCCAUA